UGGGUCCUACGGGGGGCAGCAGUGGGGAAUAUUGCGCAAUGGGGGAAACCCUGACGCAGCAACGCCGCGUGCGGGAUGAAGGCUUUCGGGUUGUAAACCGCUUUCAGCAGGGAUGAAUUCGACAGUACCUGCAGAAGAAGCCCCGGCUAACUACGUGCCAGCAGCAGCGGUAAUACGUAGGGGGCGAGCGUUAUCCGGAUUCAUUGGGCGUAAAGCGCGCGCAGGCGGACUAAUAAGCGGAG
Molecule: ribosomal RNA, 242 nt
Filed under: uncultured bacterium
Lineage: Bacteria
Description: partial 16S ribosomal RNA
Rfam family: Bacterial small subunit ribosomal RNA
Source: RNAcentral